This 439-nucleotide ribosomal RNA is filed under the name uncultured bacterium. Its description in RNAcentral is "partial 16S ribosomal RNA". It matches the Rfam family "Bacterial small subunit ribosomal RNA", at positions 339 to 795 of the family's 1533-position model. The record is from RNAcentral.
CUACGGGGGGCUGCAGUGAGGAAUAUUGCACAAUGGGGGGAACCCUGAUGCAGCAACGCCGCGUGGAGGAUGACGCAUUUCGGUGUGUAAACUCCUUUUAUAUGUCAAGAAAAUGACGGUAGCAUAUGAAUAAGCACUGGCUAACUCCGUGCCAGCAGCCGCGGUAAUACGGAGGGUGCAAGCGUUACUCGGAAUCACUGGGCGUAAAGGACGCGUAGGCGGGUUGGAAAGUCAGGUGUGAAAUCCUACAGCUUAACUGUAGAACUGCACUUGAAACUUCUAAUCUAGAGUAUGGGAGGGGGAGAUGGAAUUAGUGGUGUAGGGGUAAAAUCCGUAGAUAUCACUAGGAAUACCUAAAGCGAAGGCGAUCUCCUUGAACAUUACUGACGCUAAGGCGUGAAAGCGUGGGGAGCAAACAGGAUUAGAUACCCGGGUAGUC